Molecule: ribosomal RNA, 253 nt
Filed under: uncultured bacterium
Lineage: Bacteria
Description: partial 16S ribosomal RNA
Rfam family: Bacterial small subunit ribosomal RNA
Source: RNAcentral
UACAGAGGUCUCAAGCGUUGUUCGGAUUCAUUGGGCGUAAAGGGUGCGUAGGCGGCGCGGUAAGUCGGGUGUGAAAUCUCGGGGCUUAACUCCGAAACUGCAUUCGAUACUGCCGUGCUUGAGGACUGGAGAGGAGACUGGAAUUCCUGGUGUAGCGGUGGAAUGCGCAGAUAUCAGGAGGAACACCGAUGGCGAAGGCAGGUCUCUGGGCCACUACUGACGCUGAGAAGCGAAAGCAUGGGGAGCGAACAGG